GGUUAAGCGACUAAGCGUACACGGUGGAUGCCCUGGCAGUCAGAGGCGAUGAAGGACGUGCUAAUCUGCGAAAAGCGUCGGUAAGGUGAUAUGAACCGUUACAGCCGGCGAUGUCCGAAUGGGGAAACCCAGUGCAAUUCGUUGCACUAUCGUUAACUGAAUACAUAGGUUAACGAGGCGAACCGGGGGAACUGAAACAUCUAAGUACCCCGAGGAAAAGAAAUCAACCGAGAUUCCCCCAGUAGCGGCGAGCGAACGGGGAGCAGCCCAGAGUCUGAAUCAGCUUGUGUGUUAGUGGAACGGUCUGGAAAGUCCGACGGUACAGGGUGAUAGUCCCGUACACCAAAAUGCACAGGCUGUGAACUCGAAGAGUAGGGCGGGACACGUGGUAUCCUGUCUGAAUAUGGGGGGACCAUCCUCCAAGGCUAAAUACUCCUGACUGACCGAUAGUGAACCAGUACCGUGAGGGAAAGGCGAAAAGAACCCCGGCGAGGGGAGUGAAAAAGAACCUGAAACCGUGUACGUACAAGCAGUGGGAGCACCUUCGGGUGUGACUGCGUACCUUUUGUAUAAUGGGUCAGCGACUUAUAUUCUGUAGCAAGGUUAACCGUAUAGGGGAGCCGCAGGGAAACCGAGUCUUAACUGGGCGUUAAGUUGCAGGGUAUAGACCCGAAACCCGGUGAUCUAGCCAUGGGCAGGUUGAAGGUUGGGUAACACUAACUGGAGGACCGAACCGACUAAUGUUGAAAAAUUAGCGGAUGACUUGUGGCUGGGGGUGAAAGGCCAAUCAAACCGGGAGAUAGCUGGUUCUCCCCGAAAGCUAUUUAGGUAGCGCCUCGUGAACUCAUCUUCGGGGGUAGAGCACUGUUUCGGCUAGGGGGUCAUCCCGACUUACCAACCCGAUGCAAACUACGAAUACCGAAGAAUGUUAUCACGGGAGACACACGGCGGGUGCUAACGUCCGUCGUGAAGAGGGAAACAACCCAGACCGCCAGCUAAGGUCCCAAAGUCACAGUUAAGUGGGAAACGAUGUGGGAAGGCACAGACAGCCAGGAUGUUGGCUUAGAAGCAGCCAUCAUUUAAAGAAAGCGUAAUAGCUCACUGGUCGAGUCGGCCUGCGCGGAAGAUGUAACGGGGCUAAACUGUGCACCGAAGCUGCGGCAGCGACACUAUGUGUUGUUGGGUAGGGGAGCGUUCUGUAAGCCUGCGAAGGUGGCCUGUGAGGGUUGCUGGAGGUAUCAGAAGUGCGAAUGCUGACAUAAGUAACGAUAAUGCGGGUGAAAAGCCCGCACGCCGGAAGACCAAGGGUUCCUGUCCAACGUUAAUCGGGGCAGGGUGAGUCGACCCCUAAGGCGAGGCCGAAAGGCGUAGUCGAUGGGAAACAGGUUAAUAUUCCUGUACUUGGUGUUACUGCGAAGGGGGGACGGAGAAGGCUAUGUUAGCCGGGCGACGGUUGUCCCGGUUUAAGCAUGUAGGCGGAGGUUCCAGGUAAAUCCGGUACCUUUUUAACGCUGAGGUGUGAUGACGAGGCACUACGGUGCUGAAGUAACAAAUGCCCUGCUUCCAGGAAAAGCCUCUAAGCAUCAGGUAACAUUAAAUCGUACCCCAAACCGACACAGGUGGUCAGGUAGAGAAUACCAAGGCGCUUGAGAGAACUCGGGUGAAGGAACUAGGCAAAAUGGUGCCGUAACUUCGGGAGAAGGCACGCUGAUAUGUAGGUGAAGCCCCUGCGGGUGGAGCUGAAAUCAGUCGAAGAUACCAGCUGGCUGCAACUGUUUAUUAAAAACACAGCACUGUGCAAACACGAAAGUGGACGUAUACGGUGUGACGCCUGCCCGGUGCCGGAAGGUUAAUUGAUGGGGUUAUCCGUAAGGAGAAGCUCUUGAUCGAAGCCCCGGUAAACGGCGGCCGUAACUAUAACGGUCCUAAGGUAGCGAAAUUCCUUGUCGGGUAAGUUCCGACCUGCACGAAUGGCGUAAUGAUGGCCAGGCUGUCUCCACCCGAGACUCAGUGAAAUUGAACUCGCUGUGAAGAUGCAGUGUACCCGCGGCAAGACGGAAAGACCCCGUGAACCUUUACUAUAGCUUGACACUGAACAUUGAGCCUUGAUGUGUAGGAUAGGUGGGAGGCUUUGAAGCGUGGACGCCAGUCUGCGUGGAGCCAACCUUGAAAUACCACCCUUUAAUGUUUGAUGUUCUAACGUUGGCCCCUUAUCGGGGUUGCGGACAGUGUCUGGUGGGUAGUUUGACUGGGGCGGUCUCCUCCCAAAGAGUAACGGAGGAGCACGAAGGUUAGCUAAUCCUGGUCGGACAUCAGGAGGUUAGUGCAAUGGCAUAAGCUAGCUUGACUGCGAGCGUGACGGCGCGAGCAGGUGCGAAAGCAGGUCAUAGUGAUCCGGUGGUUCUGAAUGGAAGGGCCAUCGCUCAACGGAUAAAAGGUACUCCGGGGAUAACAGGCUGAUACCGCCCAAGAGUUCAUAUCGACGGCGGUGUUUGGCACCUCGAUGUCGGCUCAUCACAUCCUGGGGCUGAAGUAGGUCCCAAGGGUAUGGCUGUUCGCCAUUUAAAGUGGUACGCGAGCUGGGUUUAGAACGUCGUGAGACAGUUCGGUCCCUAUCUGCCGUGGGCGCUGGAGAAUUGAGGGGGGCUGCUCCUAGUACGAGAGGACCGGAGUGGACGCAUCACUGGUGUUCGGGUUGUCAUGCCAAUGGCAUUGCCCGGUAGCUAAAUGCGGAAGAGAUAAGUGCUGAAAGCAUCUAAGCACGAAACUUGCCCCGAGAUGAGUUCUCCCUGAGACUAUAAGUCUCCUGAAGGAACGUUAAAGACGAUGACGUUGAUAGGUCGGGUGUGUAAGCGUAGCGAUACGUUGAGCUAACCGAUACUAAUGAACCGUGAGGCUUAACCUU
This 2905-nucleotide ribosomal RNA is filed under the name Klebsiella aerogenes. RNAcentral describes it as "23S ribosomal RNA". It matches the Rfam family "Bacterial large subunit ribosomal RNA". The record is from RNAcentral. Lineage: Bacteria; Pseudomonadati; Pseudomonadota; Gammaproteobacteria; Enterobacterales; Enterobacteriaceae.